Molecule: long non-coding RNA, 850 nt
Filed under: Podarcis muralis (Common wall lizard)
Lineage: Eukaryota; Metazoa; Chordata; Lepidosauria; Squamata; Lacertidae
Description: lncRNA (ENSPMRG00000002269.1)
Source: RNAcentral
UCUGUCCUAGUUACAAUUUUCUGAGGGCUUUUGUGAAUAUCGAAGCUGAAGUGAACCGUCUCUUCUACGUCUUUGUCCCCCCUCGCCUCCCCGAAGCACACACAGCUCCACGCACCACCAGGCUCCCUUUGUUGUGGCCUGGGCGAUUUCCGAAGGCGAGUCAGAAUCCAAAGUCUGCAGGAGAUCAAAGUCCGCAACAGGCAGCGGAAGUUCGACCGAGGUCCAGGAAACGCCCGCUUGCCUUUGAAAGAAUCCCUGGCACGUCGAGAAGUCGUUUUUCCUGGCUGCGUAGGCGACCUUUCAGGGUUGUUAGGAGAUUAUUGAGACCGGGUACAGGUGAGGCGCUUGAAGUUACCUGAGGAAGUGCCAGGUAUGGGGGAUCCGGCACAGCCCCACGGUCUGAUGCACGCAAGUCAGGAAAGAACAGCGACUCCAGUCGAAUUGGAAUCCUUGCAGCCGACAGGAAGGCGAGAGCUCUGAGUCUGGCCUGGUUCGGCAGCAUCCUUAGCCUGUUUGCUCCAUGGGCCGGUGGCAGGUCAUGUGACUUCUGGCCUCUGCUAGUGCACGCAGUUCUAAGACCCAACAGAAAGUCGCAGGACACCCGACCCCUGUGCAAGCAAGAACAACAGCAACCAGGCCCCAGCUGGACGAGAGAUGCCUCUUUUAUAACUCAUCACUUUCCCCACCCAGCAUCGUUAAACUGCUCGCUGCUUGACCUUUUCCACUCUCUCCUUUCGUCCUUUCACUUUAUCUCAAGGCGGUUCACGCAUUUCUGCUCUCUAAGAAGACCAUUCGCCUUGCACUGAUGCAGUUACGACAUUGCAACGCCUGGUACGACUCUGUCCUCACU